ACUUGCAGGAUUGGGCCCUUAAUUAAAAUUAGGAACUUCCCAAGAUGAUAGCUAUUCUAAAGGAGCUGUAAAUAUAGUGAGCAGAAUUAUUGGCAUUUACAUCGGUUUUUCUUUUUUACACUCCUGGGGUUGCCCAAUGACACCCCCCCCCAACGCUUUAAAAACCAAACACAUUCAGAAGAAAAGCAGUGUCAUAAACAACAUAUUGGAAGAUUUAGUCCCUUUUAUAUUCACUGCCAAUUCAUUUGGGUUUAUGAUGAUUUAAAUGCACAAGCCAAACAAGGACAAGAGAAAUGAAAGGCUGCUGAGAGACAAAAGUUCUUGCAAAGCUUUCUAGGACAAAGGCAGAAGAAGGUUUCAUUCUCUUGCAGAAAAUCAAGGCUCUAAAUGUGACUGUAAUAUGAGGGGGAUAAUGAACACUCCGGAGGUGAUGAGGUACCUAACUAUGUGAUGCAAAUACUACUUUAACUCCUUGUUAAGUCAACGAUCAUAUUCUAGAAAAAUAGAAUUUGACCACAAGAUUGAAAGGCUUUCAAUUACAGAACAGCAAAAGACAAGCCACGCUGGAUCAGACCAGGUCCAUCUAUUCCAACAUCCUGAGUCCAAAGAACCCUUCAGAAGACAUAACAGUAACAUCUAUAAAUGGGGAACAAAGACCCUGACCCCAAAUUACUGCAUUCAGGUGAUCACCUUCCUAUAUAUAUAUGAACUGCAUCUUACAUAUAUGUGAACUCCACAUGUAUAGGUUUGUCCAUACAACUGGGGACCUACUAUAGGUCCAAGCACAUGCGUAGAUCAUAUGUACAAUUGGUAUCCAUAUUGGAUCUGUAGAACAACUGAGAAAGAGAUGGGACCCUGCUUCCACAAUCCCACUCC
Hemicordylus capensis (graceful crag lizard) is the source of this 876-nucleotide long non-coding RNA. RefSeq lists it as uncharacterized. The transcript is spliced from 4 exons. Lineage: Eukaryota; Metazoa; Chordata; Lepidosauria; Squamata; Cordylidae. The record is from RefSeq and is a predicted model, not a curated record.